GACGAGCCACCCAAACGUUAUUCGGAAUUACUGGGCGUAAAGGGCUCGUAGGCGGCCAACUAAGUCGGACGUGAAAUCCCCAGGCUCAACCUGGGAACUGCGUCUGAUACUGGAUGGCUUGAAUUCGGGAGAGGGAUGCAGAAUUCCAGGUGUAGCGGUGAAAUGCGUAGAUAUCUGGAGGAAUACCGGUGGCGAAGGCGGCAUCCUGGACCGACAUUGACGCUGAGGAGCGAAAGCCAGGGGAGCAAACGGGAUUAGAAACCCGCGUAGUCC
This 273-nucleotide ribosomal RNA is filed under the name uncultured bacterium. RNAcentral describes it as "partial 16S ribosomal RNA". It matches the Rfam family "Bacterial small subunit ribosomal RNA", at positions 524 to 796 of the family's 1533-position model. The record is from RNAcentral.